RNAcentral lists this ribosomal RNA (113 nucleotides) under Comamonas aquatica. The record is from RNAcentral. Lineage: Bacteria; Pseudomonadati; Pseudomonadota; Betaproteobacteria; Burkholderiales; Comamonadaceae.
CCUGAUGACCAUAGCAAGUUGGUACCACUCCUUCCCAUCCCGAACAGGACCGUGAAACGACUUUGCGCCGAUGAUAGUGCGGGCUCCCGUGUGAAAGUAGGUCAUCGUCAGGC